AUGGCGGCGAGCGAGGACGACAGCAGGAACGGCUGCGUGGAGGCCUUCCUGGUGUCGUGCGCGGCGUCUGGAGACGAGGCGUACGGCGCCGUCAGGGCCGUGCUCGAGCGCCUCCAGGCCCCCACCACGCGCGCCCAGGCGAGGCGCCUCCUCGGCGCCGUCUGUCGCCGCCUUGCCGACGACCCCGCCGCCGGGCAUGAGGAGGAGGAGGAGUGCUUCCGCGCCUUCAACCUCCGCAUCCACGACGUCGUCCUGCAAGGUUGGGCCCCCAUCCUCCCCCCCUCCCCAGCAAAGCGAAUCGGUAAAAGUCGAAUGUUGAUCCGGCCAUCGCCCAUCAGUAUUGAACUUUGUAAUCGGUUUGCUUAA
This 366-nucleotide ribosomal RNA is filed under the name Triticum aestivum (bread wheat). RNAcentral describes it as "partial small subunit ribosomal RNA". The record is from RNAcentral. Lineage: Eukaryota; Viridiplantae; Streptophyta; Magnoliopsida; Poales; Poaceae.